RNAcentral lists this ribosomal RNA (253 nucleotides) under uncultured bacterium. RNAcentral describes it as "partial 16S ribosomal RNA". It matches the Rfam family "Bacterial small subunit ribosomal RNA", at positions 524 to 776 of the family's 1533-position model. The record is from RNAcentral.
UACAGAGGGUGCAAGCGUUAAUCGGAAUUACUGGGCGUAAAGCGUGCGUCGACGGUCCUGUAAGUUGGGUGUGAAAGCCCCGGGCUCAACCUGGGAAUUGCAUUCGAGACUGCAUGGCUAGGAUGCGGAAGAGGGAAGCGGAAUUUCCGGUGUAGCGGUGAAAUGCGUAGAUAUCGGAAGGAACACCAGUGGCGAAAGCGGCUUCCUGGUCCAGCACCGACGUUCAGGCACGAAAGCGUGGGGAGCAAACAGG